UAUGUGUUCCUGGCUGGCUUGGUACUCAUGUGUAGCCCAAGCUAGCCUCUAACUCAUGGC
RNAcentral lists this microRNA precursor (60 nucleotides) under Mus musculus (house mouse). Its description in RNAcentral is "Mmu-Mir-1198_pre stem-loop". Lineage: Eukaryota; Metazoa; Chordata; Mammalia; Rodentia; Muridae. The record is from RNAcentral.